GGUAGGAUGGCCGAGUGGUCGAAGGCGCUGGUCUUGAAAACCAGAGACCCUUAACGGGGUCCGGGGGUUCGAAUCCCUCUCCUACCGCCA
RNAcentral lists this transfer RNA (90 nucleotides) under Candidatus Dadabacteria bacterium. Its description in RNAcentral is "tRNA-Ser". It matches the Rfam family "tRNA". Rfam says of the family: Transfer RNA (tRNA) molecules are approximately 80 nucleotides in length. Their secondary structure includes four short double-helical elements and three loops (D, anti-codon, and T loops). Further hydrogen bonds mediate the characteristic L-shaped molecular structure. tRNAs have two regions of fundamental functional importance: the anti-codon, which is responsible for specific mRNA codon recognition, and the 3' end, to which the tRNAs corresponding amino acid is attached (by aminoacyl-tRNA synthetases). tRNAs cope with the degeneracy of the genetic code in two manners: having more than one tRNA (with a specific anti-codon) for a particular amino acid; and 'wobble' base-pairing, i.e. permitting non-standard base-pairing at the 3rd anti-codon position. Lineage: Bacteria; Pseudomonadati; Thermodesulfobacteriota; Candidatus Dadabacteria. The record is from RNAcentral.